GUGCAUUGAAAAUGUCACUCAACAUGGCCUGCUUGAAAAGGUCCCUGGGCACUUUUUCUUCUCUCCUUUGAAUCAUUUUACCAUCACAAAUGGUUGGGUCAGAGGAUGCAGAACCCAGAGAUAAGGCACACCAACUGUAUUGGCUCUGGACAACUCCAACCACAAACAGCCCAUGGAAGGUGUUAUUAUCCAUGUUUCAAUUUUAAAGGAUUAAACAUAGACAACGUUUUCUUCCUGGAUAGAAGAAGGAGC
Molecule: long non-coding RNA, 252 nt
Filed under: Rattus norvegicus (Norway rat)
Lineage: Eukaryota; Metazoa; Chordata; Mammalia; Rodentia; Muridae
Description: long non-coding RNA NONRATT032087
Source: RNAcentral